Molecule: ribosomal RNA, 460 nt
Filed under: uncultured bacterium
Lineage: Bacteria
Description: partial 16S ribosomal RNA
Rfam family: Bacterial small subunit ribosomal RNA
Source: RNAcentral
CCUACGGGAGGCAGCAGUGAGGAAUAUUGGUCAAUGGGCGAGAGUCUGAACCAGCCAAGUAGCGUGAAGGAUGACUGCCCUAUGGGUUGUAACCUUCUUUUAUAAAGGAGUAAAACGCGGCACGUGUGCCUUUUUGCAUGUACUUUAUGAAUAAGGAUCGGCUAACUCCGUGCCAGCAGCCGCGGUAAUACGGAGGAUCCGAGCGUUAUCCGGAUUUACUGGGUUUAAAGGGAGCGUAGAUGGGUUGUUAAGUCAGUUGUGAAAGUUUGCGGCUCAACCGUAAAAUUGCAAUUGAUACUGGCAGUCUUGAGUACAGGUGAGGUAGGCGGAAUUCGUGGUGUAGCGGUGAAAUGCUUAGAUAUCACGAAGAACCCCGAUUGCGAAGGCAGCUUACUAAACUGUGACUGACAUUGAUGCUCGAAAGUGUGGGUAUCAAACAGGAUUAGAUACCCCUGUAGUC